This 302-nucleotide long non-coding RNA is filed under the name Manihot esculenta (cassava). RNAcentral's name for it is "long non-coding RNA (MESC_LNC009701)". The record is from RNAcentral. Lineage: Eukaryota; Viridiplantae; Streptophyta; Magnoliopsida; Malpighiales; Euphorbiaceae.
UUAACUCAAAAACCUAACUAUGAGCUAAACAUGCAUUCUACCCCAUAGAUCUUGCAUAAAACUUACUUUAAACAUGAAAUGAGCUUAAGAUCGGCUCUUACCUCUUGAAGAUCGAGAGAGAGACGUCCUAAACUCGGAGGUGGGAGAUUUUGAGUUCUUGAACCUCAAAGCUCCAAAACUUGCUUUAAACUCAAAAAUCUUCAAAACAAAGCAAAAGCUUGUGAAAAACUUGAAAGAUUUGAAGGAAAGAACUCAAGGAUGGUGAGGAAUGGCGGAAGGACUCACCUUGGCCGAAAAUGGGG